Molecule: long non-coding RNA, 31076 nt
Filed under: Malus domestica (apple)
Lineage: Eukaryota; Viridiplantae; Streptophyta; Magnoliopsida; Rosales; Rosaceae
Description: long non-coding RNA (MDOM_LNC009729)
Rfam family: MIR397 microRNA precursor family (bases 14041-14146)
Source: RNAcentral
AAUUUUCCCUUGAGCUUCAGUGGCAUACGGCGGUCACACAACACGCCGGAUGCACUUUUCCACUUCAUCCAUCCAGCUUGUAUUCUAUGGUUGAGAUCUCCAUCUAAUUCUCCGUUCUUUUGCAAGAUAGAUCCUAGGUAACGAAAACGGUCGCUCUUUGGUAUUUCUUGAUCUCCGAUCCUCACCCCUAACUCGUUUUGGCCUCCAUUUGCACUGAACUUGCACUCCAUAUAUUCUGUCUUUGAUCGGCUUAGGCGAAGACCUUUAGAUUCCAACACUUCUCUCCAAAGGUUAAGCUUUGCAUUUACCCCUUCCUGAGUUUCAUCUAUCAACACUAUAUCGUCUGCGAAAAGCAUACACCAAGGAAUAUCAUCUUGAAUAUGUCCUGUUAACUCAUCCAUUACCAACGCAAAAAGGUAAGGACUUAAGGAUGAGCCUUGAUGUAAUCCUACAGUUAUGGGAAAGCUUUUCGGUUUGUCCUUCAUGAGUUCUUACGGCAGUCUUUGCUCCUUCAUACAUAUCUUUUAUAGCUUGGAUAUAUGCUACUCGUACUCCUUUCUUCUCUAAAAUCCUCCAAAGAAUGUCUCUUGGGACCCUAUCAUACGCUUUUUCCAAAUCUAUAAAGACCAUGUGUAAAUCCUUUUUCCCAUCUCUAUAUCUUUCCAUCAAUCUUCGUAAGAGAUAGAUUGCCUCCAUGGUUGAGCGCCCUGGCAUGAACCCGAAUUGGUUGUCCGAAACCCGUGUCUCUUGCCUCAAUCUAUGCUCAAUGACUCUCUCCCAGAGCUUCAUUGUAUGACUCAUUAGCUUAAUACCCCUAUAGUUCAUGCAAUUUUGUACGUUGCCCUUAUUCUUGUAGAUAGGCACCAAAGUGCUCGUUCGCCACUCAUUUGGCAUCUUCUUCGUUUUCAAAAUCCUAUUGAAAAGGUCAGUGAGCCAUGUUAUACCUGUCUCUCCCAAAAGUUUCCACACUUCGAUUGGUAUAUCGUCUGGGCCUAUUGCUUUUUUAUGCUUCAUCUUCUUCAAAGUUACAACCACUUCUUCCUUCCGGAUUCGCCGAUAAAAAGAGUAGUUUCUACACUCUUCUGAGUUACUCAACUCCCCUAAAGAAGCACUCAUUUCAUGUCCUUCAUUGAAAAGAUUAUGAAAAUAACCUCUCCAUCUGUCUUUAACCGCAUUCUCUGUAGCAAGAACCUUUCCAUCCUCAUCCUUGAUGCACCUCACUUGGUUUAGGUCCCUUGUCUUCUUUUCCCUUGCUCUAGAUAGUUUAUAGAUAUCCAACUCUCCUUCUUUGGUACCUAGUCGUUUAUACAUAUCGUCGUAAGCCGCUAACUUAGCUUCUCUGACAGCUUUCUUCGCCUCUUGCUUCGCUUUUCUAUACCUUUCACCAUUUUCAUCGGUCCUCUCCUUGUAUAAGGCUUUACAACAUUCCUUCUUAGCCUUCACCUUUAUUUGUACCUCCUCAUUCCACCACCAAGAUUCCUUUUGGUGUGGGGCAAAGCCCUUGGACUCUCCUAAUACCUCUUUUGCUACUUUUCAGAUACAACUAGCCAUGGAAUCCCACAUUUGGCUAGCUUCCCCCUCUCUAUCCCACACACAUUGGGUGAUUACCUUCUCUUUGAAAAUGGCUUGUUUUUCUUCUUUUAGAUUCCAUCAUCUAGUCCUUGGGCACUUCCAAGUCUUGUUCUUUUGUCUUACUCUUUUGAUAUGUACAUCCAUCACCACAACAAGCGAUGUUGAUUAGCCACGCUCUCUCCUGGUAUAACUUUGCAAUCCUUACAAGUUUAUACGAUCCCCUUUCCUCAUUAGAAGAAAAUCUAUUUGUGUUUUUGACGACCCACUCUUGUAGGUGAUCACAUGUUCUUCUCUCUUCUUAAAGAAGGUGUUGGCUAAGAAGAGAUCAUAUGCCAUUGCAAAAUCCAAGAUAGCUUCCCCAUCCUCGUUUCUCUCCCCAAAACCAUGGCCACCAUGAAAACCUCCAUAGUUGCCUGUCUCCCUGCCCACGUGUCCAUUUAAAUCUCCUCCUAUAAAUAACUUCUCCGUCUGAGCAAUUCCUUGCACCAAGUCUCCAAGAUCUUCCCAAAAUUUCUCCUUCGAACUCGUAUCCAACCCUACUUGAGGUGCGUACGCACUAAUCACAUUGAUAACUUCUUGUCCUAUUACAAUCUUGAUUGCCAUGAUUCUAUCUCCUACCCUCUUGACAUCUACAACAUCUUGUACCAAGGUCUUGUCCACGAUGAUGCCAACACCGUUUCUCGUUCUAUUUGUGCCCGAAUACCAAAGUUUAAACCCUGAGUUUUCUAGAUCCUUUGCCUUACUACCAACCCACUUAGUUUCUUGUAGGCACAUAAUAUUUAUCCUUCUUCUCACCAUAACUUCCACUACUUCCAUAGAUUUUCCCGUUAAGGUUCCUAUAUUCCACGUUCCUAAACGCAUUUUGCUCUCUUGAACUCUACCCUUCUGUCCUAGCUUCUUCACCUUCCCCCGUCUAAUAGGAUCAAAGUACUUCUUUUGUGUGUCCCGGGUAAAGUUGAUAGGAGCAUAUGCUCCCAAAUAACUUUGAGUGGAGUCGUUCGAAAAUAAGUUUCUAUGGCCCCCUUGCUCAUUUAACACUGCAUCCGGGUGCCGAUGGAGAUACAGCGACCCUUGCUCACUUAUCACUGUGCUCGGGCCACACAGCGCGCCACUUACGGGUGACGCCCUAGCUUUAGCGCGAUUUUGUUCUGGAUUCAUUUUCAUAAGGAUUCGACGUGAUCAUGGAGUGCCGGCUGUCGACUACCUGACGCCCUCCCCCUCCUCCUUUAUCCGGGCUUGGGACCGGCCAUGUAAGACAUAGGCGGAGUUGGUUAGCUCAUUAAAUAAAUUGCAAAUUUUAUAUCCCCUUUAAAUUUAUAUAUUCAUCAUUAAGCUAAAGAUUAUGUAAAGAAAUAUUUCAUAUUUGGAAAUAUUUUGAAUCAAACUUUCCCUGGUAAUAAUUUCUUGUCUUGUGAAUUAUAUUAAUCACAGUUGCAAGAUGUGAUAUGUGUACUAUACACUCCUUGUUUCAUUUAUUCGUGUAUUGUAGACAAGUGCAGUUCUUAAAUGUUAUUACGUACUUGAGAAGCUUGCUUUACAAGUUUCCCUCAAUCUACUAUUGUUCCUACAGGAAGUGGAGGAGUCAUUUGCUUUCUGGGGUACUCCAGAAGGUGAUCUAGUCCAUCCUGCUGAGUGUAUUGAGCAGUUACUGGAGAAAGUUAGGCGUCACAGAGUCAAUGUUGAUGGCAAUGUCUGUACUGUCAUGGUAACGACUUUGGUACUUGAGGUAAUUCCGUUUUCCUUUAUAUAUCCACCACGGCUGAAGCAUGGCUAUUCUCUUAUGAAAUGAAACCUGUUGUUGCAUUCUGUAAUCCUUGCAAUAAAAGCACGAGCAAUUGCCCGUCUGUUGUUGAUUGCUCAACUCCUUUCUGCUUCUCUUUAUAAAGCCAAUUUUAUUUUCUUAGAAAACUAAAACGAAUGGGAUUAGAUUUCACAACUGAUGGUUGAUUAUUUGAGUGAUUUCGUCGAUAACUGCUCCACAUAUCUGAGUGAUUGUGUUUUGCAGGGAUGGCAGCGGAAACUCGACCCUGGGUACGAUGUGAUGCACACAUUGCAAACGCUACUUCUCAAAGCCGACUGGGCAAAGUCCCUUUCCUACACAAUUGAGGGGCUAAUGGCUCCAUAAGAAGGUCUUUGUCAGUGCUACUGCUACAAUUACAAAAACAAUUUUGACACUUUUGAAUCCCAAAAUAUACCAGUCCCAAGAAAAAAGGGACACGAAUGCUUUGAUCUUUAAUUUUAUUUCAUUUUAUUCAAUAUUUUGAAGGUUCAAUCCUUUGUGUAUUAUUUAGCUUGUUUUCGGCGAAAAGGGUUUCCUGUUUUGAAGCCUGAAGCAAAAACAGUAGAGGAAAAAAAAGAGAAAUAAAGUGAAGAUGUAUUCUUUCCUGUACAGCUUGCAGUUUUAUAAAUUAAUGCCUUCCUUGAGAUUACUUACUUGACAUAUCUAUUGGAAAUAGAUCAUCGCCGGAUCCUUUUUCUGGGGAUCCUAGGAAUCUCAUGAUCAUAAUCGUUCAUCGUACAUUGUGAGAUUAGAAAUCAUUUCAAAAUUUAAAAUUAAAUAUAAAUAUUAUAUAACAAAAACUAACUGCAUGAUGUACAGUUAUAAUCAUCUCCAGCAAAGUGAUCCUCGCCGGAUCCUUUUCCAUAUCUAUUUACAGCACCUAUCUUUCUCGUUUAAGUUACUCUCCCUUGCCAAGAACAAGAAGAAAAACAUAGGAUGAGUAGAAAUUUUCUCUCGUUGAUUGCACGAUGUACGAUAUACGAUCAUGAUCACGAGAUUCCUAAGAAAACAAUCCUCGCCGGAUCCUUUUCCAUAUCUAUUUACAGCACCUAUCAUUCUCGUUUAAGUUACUCUCCCCUUGCCAAGAACAAGAACAAAAACAUAGAAUGAGUAGAAAUUUUCUCUCGUCGGGUCGGAUCGAUCCGGUAGGAACCAUGAACCUGAUAUUAUCAACAAAAUAUAGGAUCAAUCAAAUCGCGAAAUUUCUUCCAUGCUCUGGACUAUUCAAUACAACGGAACAGAAUGAAUAAAAAUAGCAAGUUAAGAGGAAUAGAGUGAAGAAAAACGUACGGAAUAGACGAAACCAUUACCCUAAUGACUUAACCUUUAAAAGCUACAAUAGCUACACUGGAAAAGUUAGUUUUCGCUCGCUAGUUCUCGUGCCAUCCGAAAUGCGUUCAGUGGCGACUCAGACUCGAAUGUUCUAUGUCCAUAAGGGAUCGGAAAACAUCAUGGUUAUAUGUCGUGAAAUGAAAUUGUACCAGCAUGUAAUCAGACGCUACUUGCUAGGUAAUGAAGCAGGGUUUCGAGAAACAUUCCCGUCUGAUGUAAGGUCAAUGCUCCCAUUCCUUCCAUUUCUUAUUCUCUCUGCCGGGAAGGAACAGUAACACUUGGCUCUUUUAUCGCGACCGCAACAAAUGAAGAAUGUAUAUACACCUCUCUGUGUAAUAGAAUCAAAACGAAUCAAAGUAGCCUCUCCACGAUCUACAGCUGACGCAGUUUCCAGAUGUUCAUAGAAGAUAUAGCCGUGAUCAUCUAACCAUUACCUGUAAGGAACAUGGUAAGUGCUCAGACAAUCCUGCAGUAUGCAUGGCAGUGAACAAAACAGACAACUAUACUUUCUCAGAAUGGAGAGAAUAAGCGGGUGAGCCAAGGUUUACACACACAAACACGAUACAUGCAUCAUCAUUCCAUAUGCCAGUUGAUGUAGAAGCGUGAUUUAAUUGGAAAAUAUGAGUUCUAUACCUUUUAUUUGAGUAUGGAUAGAGUCCUGGGGACCUAGAGCCUCAGCAACGCAGAAUUUACAAACAGGCAGUGGAUACUCGACAAUCGUUUAAAAUCCCAAACUGUCAUGCAACAUCUUGACAUGUCCAAGGAAGAAUCUCCAUUUGUUUUCUUUUUUUUCUGAAAAUUCUGCAGGUGCUAAAUGUUGGAAGCACAGAGGAGAUAAAUGUCUUCCUCAGCAGGGGCACUUACAUUGCACAAGUAAGCUCACGUAUUUCUUUGAUUGCUGAACUAAUACUAUUAAGGGCCAUUCUCUUCACCUGCAUUUCAUGACAAGGGCAGACACUUUCUGAUCAAUUUUUAUGCAUAUUAUGGAGAAAAAAAUGACAUCUCAUACUAAUAUCAAUGAAAGUUCACCUCUAGCUUGUCAACUUUUGCUUUAUGGUGCUGGAAGCAGACGGACUUCAUCAGUUAACUGGAUGCACUCGGCAACAUUUUCGGGUGAUACAAAGUCCAGCACCACAUGUACACAAGACUGCAUGUCAAAAGAAACAGAAUGUCCAAUAUUGUGAUAAUUUGCGGAAACAAUAAACUUAUCUGCAUAAUAAGUACAAGUCCUGUAAAAAUUCUUGGUAAUCAUUCCAAGAACUCAAAAGUAGUAAAAUACGAAAGAUUCAAAAGGUUUUUCUAAAUACUAGAUCAUAAAAGUGUCACGCACCUUAGAAUUCCUAAUCUGAUAUGGGCAUCCAGCAGGUAUGAUAACAGCUUCUCCUAUGUGUUGCUCAAAAGUCCAAGGCUCAAUUUCUGGUGACAAUGAGUGGUGGGUUAACUACAGUUAUUCAUAAUUCAACCAGUGAUUGAAAUGACACAAAUUACACUUACUAAAUUCCUCCUUGAGCCUUAAUUUGUGACUUGAGUCCAGAAAGAAACUCUGAUCAAGAAUGGGAUGAACAACCUGCAGUAAGUGUGGACGUCAAAAAGUAAGAUAGUCUUUAACCUGAUCUGCUCAAAUGCUGUAGCUAUAGGUUUUGGGCUUACAUGCUUAUGAAAGUCAAAUUUACGAGUGAAUUCAUUAGAGUGCCUUCUGAGAUAUUCUAUAAGUUUUGGGACAUCUUGUCUGCGAAACACAUCCCAUUGGGCACCACAAGACUUGUCCAAGGUUUGCUUUUCAUAGCUAUUGCAGCUGUCGACCAGAACCUCACACCUUGUAUCUUUAGAUGUUUCAGCAUCAUGAAGUCUCCCAGAGCUACUUAGUGUGGCUUCAGAAUCAGUAUCAGAAUCAGAUGUUUCAGCAUCUGUGCAUGCUUCAUGCCUGGAGAAGCAAGACUCUCUAGCAAUUCUUUUGCGUAAAUGCAUCUCCUCUCCGAUCACAUUAUGUAGCCCUGCUUCUUUCAUGGUUUCACUAAACAAUAAUGAUUCUCCAUUGUCUUUUUUUGCCACAAAUUGUUCACAAGUAACCCUAGAACCCUCCCUCUGAUAUUGAGCCUUGUGCUUCUUCAGUAACUUUCUUAUUUUUGAAACUUGUUCAUCAGAGAUAGGGACAUCUGAUGUAUGUGCCAAAAUGUUAACCUAGGGUCAAAAAAAUCAACAGAAUGAAUGAAAUGGAACACUUAGAUCUGAAAAAAUAACUGUUACCAAAGCAAAGCUAAUCUUUAACAACCAAAAAUAUAUAUAAAAAUGGUGAAGGUUUAGCAAACAGCUUAUGGUUUUCUCCAUAUUCUUCGACCCAAAUUUUUACUCAAAUGAAUUUACCAAGACUUUAAAUUAAUGCUUGGUGAAGUUGUCCAGGUGAGGUGAGACCACAUCGGUAUCAACCUAUAAAUUCAAAUAAAAUGCACGGAAAGCAUUUACAGUUUCUUCAACAAUUAAUAUGAUAUGGUGCCUACUUGUCCCAUUGCAGCACAUCAUCAAAAGAAACAAGAGAUCACUUGACAGUAAAGUAAUAGGGAUAAUUACAAGGCAUACCACAUCAUAUGAGUCAUAACAUAGCUUUAUCACUGCAUUAGCUUGUACAAGUUGCUCGGUGCAGCCGUAUGAUAUAUAAACACAGGGACCUAGAUCAGGUUUUGGGAUUUCUUGUGGCAUCCUUGCAGCAAGAUUUAAAAGACCAGACGUGGGAUUCAUGUAUUCUUGAAGUGGUAGAGCUCGUAUUACUUCAGCAUAAUGAACUGGAAACUGUUCCUGAAACAACUGCGAAGAAAGCCAACCCUUCAACUUCAGUGUCUCAUUCCAUACAUUUCGUUGGGCCUGCCCCCUUAAUGAACCCAUGAAGUACUGCCUGAUUCCAAGUUCCACCUGCCAUAUAAUAUAUAUAAGUUUUUCUUUUAGAAGAAAGAAGGCUGGAUGGUAGGAAUAUAAUCAUGUGUACUUGAAGAGUUUAGAGAUAAAGGAGGUAAAAAUGCAGAGGACUAUCAGUUUUCUUUUUAAAGGCUAAAUUUGAGAAUGGGAUUAGGUGUAGACAAUCGUGAAUCAAAAGAUAAAGAGAGCAAAUCUAUAAGCAGUAGAGCUCCACUGACCUCGCACCAAUCCAAGCAGUGGAUAGCUUCAUUUGAAUUUGUGUUAUUUUCAUAUCUAGCAAUGCUCCUCUCAAGAUAAGUGCAGAACAUGGACACUGGAUCCCAAGUCAAAUCUGAUGUAGUUUGAAGUACGUCUCGGACUAUUACAGGAUGACCUUUACUCCAGUGCUUCUGAAAGUGCUCAACAUUAUCACCAUUUGUGCCCAGUAGCGUGGGGUAGUAUAAGUAGUUAUCGUUUGAGUUCUCUCUCACUGAAGCUUCUUGCAACUGUCGAUUCCCAUCAGUUUUCUGGUCCACGCCCAAACAUAGUGGACAGCACAAAGACAUGUCAGCAGUUUCUGGAAAUUCAUAGCUGCAAACUAUUUCUUCUGCACUUACUUCCAGGUCUUUGAUCCAACAUAAUGGAAAAACACAUCUCAAAUCAAGGAGGCUGUCACCACAACCUCCAAGCUCCUUAGGUGGGCAAGAUAUACCAUUAACAGCAUUACAAGAUUUCAAGCUAGGUACUGAUGCAGAAGAAGGGUACAAACUGCGGAAACUUUGCUUAUGGGUGGUUAUUGGCUUCUUUACAAGUUGCCCCUUACGAGAGACACAAGUUUUCUUUUUGUUAGUCUGCUUUAUGAGAGUUGUGUUUAUACCACCAAAAAGGCUCCCACUUAAAAGAUCUCGACAGCAACUUAAACAAAGGUUAUAGGAACAAUUUGGGCAGCUUCUAUGGAGAUCCACUAUUGAAGCUUUGCAUUUAUUGCUGUUCCCAAAGUCAUUGAUGCACCACACAAACAAUGCAAGAUCAUUACAUAAAUUCCACUUUAACUGUUAAAACAUUGCAGAAUUAUAGAACAUACCAGCAGUGUUGUUCGUUGCAGCUAUAUUCAGCCUGCUUGAUAUGAACUUCAGAUAGCUCUUCCCCUGGUAUUACGAAGAAAAGAUAGUUUUUUCAGUUAUGACCACAAAGUUGGCGCAAAGAGCAACAUUGUCAGUAGAAUUACACAGUACCUCUCAUUUUUGCCUCUGCUUCUAGCUCAACUUUCUGAUCUUGGUUUAUUUGUUUUAGCACGGGAAGAAGCAUACAAAUCAGAUAAUGGAACUGUAGUAUUACUUCAACUUUAUUCUUAACCCCCAAAUAAUCCUGACAAAAAGGGUGUGCAUGAUUUAAAUCAUUAGCAUCUAACAUCAUACGAAGCAUGAACAAGUUCACAAAUGAGCCAAAUUUAAUGUCAGACCUUACUUUCCGCAUCUUUUGAUUGAUUUUCAGAGCAUUCCUUACAGGGGCAAGUUCCUCGACAGACUGGGCAUGCCAUUUUGACUUCAUCUUGUGUAUCAAAGUACCUAAAUUGUUUUAAGAACCAAGAUUCAUCAAGCCUCAUUGAUUAUAACAAGGAGAAGAACUAUAACAAACAGCUUAGGAGAAUAACGAUAUUAUUGCAAUGAGUUCUAGUCCUACCAAUGUAUUAUCAGAUUUGGCCUGGAGAAUUGAAUUCUCUCUGUGUCUCUACCAAUGUUUUCAUCUUGUAGGAUGCAGAACAUUCUACACAAUCAUGGCUUCUCAUAUAGAUAUCAGAUACGCAGACAAGGGUGAAUUUUCUAGCGUGACGGAAAAAUACAAGUUCUUUAUAAAGUUUUAUUACAAAACAUCAAUCUCUCGGAUCGUGGUGAAAUUUACAUACAUUUCGGUAUUCAAGGCCAGUAUUCUAACUAAUGACGACCAAAUCCAUAUAAAAGAAUUGAAACAAGAACUGUGUACCAGCAUUGCAGUCUAUGAGAAUUGGUAACAAGAAACUUAGCUCUAAGAUUCAAACAUAAAUUUGAGGCCAUAAUCCACAAAACACAAAACAAACCUUUCUUUGACGCAAUUCAAGCAAAAGAAGUGCUUCUGGCAACUCGAACACUUAAUUAGAGCAGAAGAAACACCGCUCCCUCUUUUUCGACACCAAUGGCACCUUCUCCUCUUACCUUUCCUCAACUUCCCCACAUCAUUAUAUGGCAGAACCUAAACCAAAAGAAUCAAAAUUUCAAAAACCAUAUGACCAUAAUUGUUUCUUUCAGUCAUUCAGCUCACCUGCAAUGUGCCAGCAGGAAUUGGCUCGAUGUUCUUUGACCGAAAGCACCUCCUCCGCGUAGCAACCGGAGGCAAAUCAGCCCCGACCUUCCCAUCAGAAGACGAAUUGGAACCUGCAUUGCCGGACCGAAGCCUCGGCGACUGCGAGGAAGAUGAAGAGAUUGCCAUUCGGCCAUUGGGCAAGUCUCUGGUGAGAUCACCGCCGCCGUCAUCGUCGUCUUCAUCACCAUCCUCACUCUCCUCCUCCACAACAUUCUUCUUCUUCGUAGUCGUCUGGUUCCGCUUCUCGACCUCCCUCCUCAGCACCAUCCGUAUGAGGUCCAAAUUCAACUCGCUCUUCUUCAACUUCACCUUCCGCUUCUUCUUCUUGCAAUUCUUCACCGCCUCGUCGGAUCGCUUCCGCUUCAGCAACUUCACCAAAUUCUCCACUUUCCGUGCCCUAAUUUUGACUCCACCGCCGUUUCCGCUGCCGUUUUGAUCUUUGUCCCCAGCGUUUUUGGGCGUCCUCUGAAGCUUGAGUGACUCGGGGACUUUCUCUCUGAACUGACGGUGACGGCCUUGGAGAUAGUGAAUCUCGCAGAGCUUCAUGUCGUCCAUGACUCUCCGCUUGCACCGCCAUUUCCGGCCGUCGGUCCGGCCGCACCGCAGAUGGUCCGGCAGCGCACCCUCCUCGCCCAUUCCACAAAAUUGAUCUGAUUUUCCCGGAAAAUGUCUAAUUUUCUCGGGAAAACGCUGGCGACUGAGAAAAGAGAGACAAAGCAAGGGGCUUUUGAGAAAGGAAAGGGAUUAUUUUUAGGGGUUUUGGGAAUUUUACCUUUUUCGUAUUUAUUGAGAGAAACAGAUGGAGCUUAAUCUAAAAGAUUGAGUUUUGAGGGGCAUAUUCCGUAAUUACAGGGGAAGAAGGAGUCCCAUUUGGUCUCGAAAUCGUGAAUCAGGUCAGAUUCAAGAAAUCAACAUCCAAGAUAAUCUGGUCAGGUUCCAACUCUGCAACUCUGCUGCUGCACUGAAUCCUCAUAUUUUGCAAAAAGAUUUUUUAUUUUUAUUUUUUAUUACUGUUAUGAAUUUGGUUCGAUAGGAGGCUGGUUCAGUGACAGUUUACUAAGUUUGGCUGCAAUUGGUUUUUACGAUGCAUGAACACGGUGAUAUCUCUUCGUAUUCUCCUGUUGUGUUGUAUUCCCAAGUCGUGUUGCAUUGCUGUGUUCGUGUCCAUGCAUCGUAAGUUUUUAUUCAGUUUUUCUCACUACAUUUUUCAAUUUGCAAAUUUGGGGUACUUUUUUUGCAGCUUUGAUUGAUAGCUUGUGUUGCAUGUGAUUAGAGCUCUGAAUUCCAAGUUUGGAAUUUGAUAAAUUGAUGUGGCAUUUCAAAUGCUUUUCAGUUUUUAGAGUGUGUAUAUAGUUCAGUUUUUAGUAUGUCCAAAUUUAAUGUGCUGUAUAUAUUAUAUUUUGUGGGUUUAUUUGCUGCAACUUUGGACUAUCUUUUGUUUAUUUGGGAUUUAAAUAGGGAAGAAAAAGAGAAAUGGAGUGUCCCAUGCAACUGCUUAUUGAAAUUGGUUUUCUGGCUUUUCUUCAUCUGAUUGCCAUGCAAUGCAGCUGCAAACUUGCAAUGCUGCAUCCGACUAAUUCUAGUUUUAGUUAUUUUAAUUCAAUUUGUCUGAUAUUAUGCAGCAUGUAAACUUCCUUCACUUUCAUGAGCAAUCAUGAGAAACAACAACCAACAUGAUUUAUGAAAAACAAGCAUGCUACGUAUAUCAUUGCAUUAUAUAAUUCAAUUGUUAAUUUGUUCGUUCGAAGUUUAUUUUAUUAUGAAUUAAUUUAGCAUGCAUUUAAGAUUACUCCUUCUUUUCUGCCGACGAGAGCAAUUUAGAUUAUCGCUUUGUACAAACAAAUGCAGCUUUGCAUGUUCCAUUUCCUGGAAAAUGGCAUUGGCAUUAUAUUUUUACACGUUUUUAUGGUCAUUUGGAACAAUUAUGAAGUUGAUAACAAAAAAAAAAAAAAAAAAAAAAAAAACCCUGCAUAGUACUCCUAGUAAAAACACGUGGGUUCCAUACCAAGAUAUUGCUAUUUCCCGAAGUAGCAUGCUGUACAUAGCUUUCUAGUUAAUUAUAUAGCUCAGUUGAACCUAAUUUAAAACAGAAUAAUGCCUUCAUUAAAGUAUCUUUUUUUGUUUCAUUUGAAAAAUACAUAUCAAUUUGAUAUGAAGUAUAUUUACAAUUUGGUUUGACAAACGUCUUGAGAUGAUAUAAUUAGUAAAUAUGUUCUUCCUCGUGUCAACAUUAUAUACAUGCAUCCUUCAUGAAGAAUAUCUGCAUAUCAUCUUCUGCGGAGGACAAUCUUGCCUUCUGCAUCUUCAUGCACAAUGGCUACAACUUCCUCAGGGGGAACGUUCCACCAGAUCCUAGGCUCCUCUAGCUGAUGUCCAAUUUGAGCAAAUUUAUCCGCGGCUCGAUUGCCUUCCCUAUAAACGUGACUCACAAUGCAACCGUUGAGUUUUGGCAAAAUCGAAUUCACAUCGUUAACUUGCCUUUGAACUUCUGCACAUUUAAAAUCUUUCUUUCUUUUCACAAUAAUAUCGAGCAAUGCCUUGGCAUCUCCUUCAAGCCACACGUCUCUAAAGCCAUUUUCUAACACCAACUCGAGGCCUCUUUUUAGGGCUACCAACUCAGCAAUGGUGCUGUUGGCUUCUCCAAUGGACUCAGCAAACCCUAGCAAGAAUUCUGCCUUGUGGUUCCUAAAGACCCCUCCAAUGCUAGCUUUUCCUGUUUUGCCUUUUGAAGAUCCAUCAAAGUUCAACUUGGUCCAUCCAAUCUUGGGCUUUUCCCAUUUCACCGGAAUCGGCUUUUUUCGAUAAUUUCUUACUGAAAACCAACCGGGCUUUGUAGUACUGGAUAGACUUUGGCACCUCCAAAUUUUUGUAAAGGCUAACAUGAUUUCUCCGCUGUAGACUUGUACUAGUUUAAUCGGUGGUGUUAUAAGAAUGACUAAAAACACUUUCAACUAUCAAAAACGCUUUCGGCAAUGUUUGUUCGAUGUGCGCUUGUAACAAAAAUGUGCUUCAUCAAUCAUCACGUAUAUAGUUUAGUUUUUCAGAGAGAGAGAGAGAGAGAGCACUUUGAAAUGAAACCUUCAAUUGAUUAAGUACAAUACGGAAUAUAUAUAUAUGGACAUAUAUCUGCAUUUUGAUGCUAAUCAGAAGUUUAGAUUAACCGAAAACCAGCACGAUUGUGUAAAAUGAACUAUUGCUUGACGUAAUAAAGGUCUUCUCCUUGGUUAUGAAGUUGAGUGUAGGCAAAGCAACUAGAAGAUUCAGAAUUAUGGAACGCUAAUUGAGGCAGCAAGCAGCAUUAAUUUGGAUCAUACGGUUGAUACCAAAAUAAUAUAUUUAUGAAAUUUUCCUGAAAGGUUUCUUCAAAAUCUCAAAAGCAUAUUCUGAUUUAUAUUUUUUAUGGGUUUUGUUUGAAAGAAAAGCUCAAGUGUACGACUACUGUUUCGUUUACGUACAGGGAUGGUUGCAGUUUUGCAUGAGGAGUGAAUUUUGUAUUUGUGUUCAUGACAUGAACAUUGACCUCGAUUAAUGCUUAAUUUGGAAUUUAGAUCAUAAAAAAUCUAAAUAUUCUGCAGUAAACGUCAUAAUUUUACCAAGAAAAUUAGGAAGUGCUUGCAAAAUCAGUAUUCCUGGUCCUCUUUUAUGUGUAUUUUGUAUUUGGGUAUAACUUGUUAUAUUUAAUUAAACCCCCUUUUUUUUUUAAAUAAAAUUGAUAUUUUUAGGUUGAAAGAAAAAAAAAACUGAGAAAAAGUCAAAGACUUCAUGCUUGCUCUAUUGAAGAAAUUGAAUAUAUAUAUAUCAAAUUAGUAAUAAUUAUAACAGUGGUCAUUCCCUAAUUUCCUACUCUCUUCUGAAAAGUCAAAUUCAAAGAAAUUAAGAACAAUAUAAUUUAUCAUAUUGGUAAUUGAGGAGAGACUGCACUUCCAAUCUCAAAAAGAGUUGCAGGCUAUUGAUCCUGGCCCUUAAAAUGUCCUGCGUAAGAAGAACAAUAUAUAUAUAUAUAUAUAUAUAUAUAAUUACGUACUGGAGAUUUUUCCAUAGCAUUUCCUGGACUUACUAGUUUCCCAAGCGUUGAAGAAAGUUACAACAUUGAAAGUUGAAACAAUAGCUGAGCACUUGCCAAAAUGGAUAGAAACAUAAUUGGGUGCAGCGUUGAUGAAAUGUUUCGAUGUCCUAAUGAAGAUUCAGAAGCAAUACGAACUUUCAUCAACGCUGCACUCAAUGAUGUUUCUUCAAUCUGGAUCCUCCAGUGCUUCCUCAUUAACUAUACGACUGAUUUGAGCCCCAUACAUAAUAUAUAUUGGGUGCGGCAACUAGCAAUACAUUAGAUUGAAAAUGCAGUACACAAAGUUGUAUUCAAUCUCUUGACCUUGUACUACCAGCUCAAAACUGCUGCUGCUCUCAAGAUUUGUACUGCUGACUAUAUAUGGUACUGAUAAAAAAAUUUGUUGUACUACACUACAUCUCCACCUAGAUUAACCCCAAACACUUCUUUCUAGAUCUAUAAUUUUCUUUAAUUAUCAUGAUUAAUUAUUAGAUUAUUUUUCUUAAGAGAGAUUAAGUUAUGCAUGUAAAUAACAAAAAUGAGUAGGUCCAAUUUUGGAACACAAUGAUGAGUAGGUCCAGUUAUAGGGCAAAUGUUCUUUGAAAAUUACAUGGCAAUAACCCUAAUUUCAAACGAAGUACAAAAAACUACCUCAACUAUUGGUGUCACGACAUUUUCAUACCUCAUAUUUUAAAAUUGACAAUGUCAUACCUCAUCUUACGAAUUUGUGCUAAUGUCAUACCUCCGUCAGUUUUUCUAUUAAUUUCUCAGUUAAUUGCUGACGUGGCUUGAUUCAGGACUCACUUUUUAUUAAAAAAAUAUUAAAAACUAAAAAAAAUCAUUUAAUAUUUUUUAAAUAUUAAAAUAAUAAAGAAGGUUAUUUAAAAAAAAAAAAAAAAACCAAACGAAACUUCCCCUGCGCCCUAUCUCUUCUCCCCCAUCUUCAUCUCCCUUCAUCUUCUUCCUACCUACUACAACCCAGAAAAAAGAAAAAAAAAAAACAAACAAAACAAAACAAAAUUUGUCCCUUACCCCCAGGCGCCCUCUCUCUUCUCCCCCAUCUUCAUCUUCUUUCCUCUUCUUCCCCCUAUUUGUUGCAACCCAGAUAGAAAAUAAAGAACAAACAAACAAACAAAACUCCCCCCCCCCGCCCCCUCUCUUCUCCCCAUCUUCAUCUCCCUUCCUCUUCUUCCUACCUGCUACAACCCAGAAAAAAGAAAGAAAAAAAAAACUUCCCCCCCCCCACCCAACCUGCAGAAGAAGAAGAGAGAGAAGGAAAAGAAAGAAAAAAAGGUGCCUCGCCCCCCCAACCUGCAGAGGAAGAAGAAAAAGAGAGAGAAGGAAAAAAAAAUACCAGUUCGUCCAUCCCCCCGUGUACCCACCAUUUUCCCUCCACAUACAUUCCCCCCAUUUUCUCCGCGCCCAAGUUCUCAAAGAGAUUUGGGGUUUUUUUUUUUUUUUUUUUGGGUUGCAGGUAAUGGGUGCGAGGUUGGGUGCAGAGGGUGGGUGGGGAGGUUGGGUGCGGAGAGUGGGUGCGGGGAGAAGAGGGGGGGGAGCGGGGAAGACAAAUUGGAUUUUCUUUUUCCUCUUUUUUUUUUUUUUCUGGGUUGAAGUUGCAGGAAGGGGGGAGAAGAAGAAGAUGGGGAGAAGAGAGAGAAGGGGGGAAAGGGAACGAAUUGAUUGUUGGUGUAUUUUUUUUUUUAAUUACUUUUCCUUAUUAUUUUAAUAUUUAAAACUAUUAAAUGAUUUUUUUGAGUUUUUAAUAAUUUUUUAAUAGAAAAUGGGCCCUGGAUCAAGCCACAUCAGCAAUUAACUGAGAAAUUAACAGAAAAACUGACGAAGGUAUGACAUUGGCACAAAUUUAUAAGAUGAGGUAUGACAUUGUCAAUUUUAAAAGAUGAGGUAUGAAAGUGUCGUGACACCAAUAGUUGAGGUAGUUUUUUGUACUUUACACUUCUUUAUUUUUUAGGGUAGUGUUAUUCACACAUCCAUUUUUACUUCUUACACACUCUUCUCAAAUUUCAGUAGUCAAACCGAAUGAAUUGAAAAAGAUCAUGAAUAAAAAUUAACAAGGGUAUAUGAGAAGUAAAAAUGGGUAUGUGAAUAACACUACCCCUCUCUUAUUGUAACUAUUUUCAAACUCUCAUUUCCUUUUUUUGCACUACUCCUUUUAUUUUCAUGCCUUGAUUCUCUUUUGACUUAUUCCUUCAAUAUCUAGAAAUUAAGAGAGAAAUGUAGGAAGAAAUAAGAGUGCGGAAAUCACUUCUCUUUAUAUAAGAAUUAGGAGAUAAAUGUUACCAUCAGACCCUUUAGAAAAUGACAAAAUGCAAUACAAUUAUACACAUGGUGUUGGAGGCACCCCGGCCUCUCUAAAAGCACUAAGAUUUCAUUUACAAAGUUUCAUAAACUACAAGCUUAAGUGACCAAUAAUAUCAACUAAUCCCUUUUUAUAUACAUGUAAGAAUUAAAUGCAGCGAUCCAGACCAAAGAACUCAAAAAAUGAUCAUCUUAUGCAUCAAAAUUAGUACUAGCGCCCUAGCCAGCACAAAUAUAUACGAAAAUGAAGGAUGCAUGUUAAAUUCUUAUCUUUUACCACGAAAAACGAUCUUACCCUCGGCAUCUUCUUGCAUGAUGGAUAACACUUCAUCGGGAGGAAUAUGCUGCCAAAUUUGAGGCUUUCCAGAACAAUGUCCCAAUUUCGCAAACUUAUCAGCGGCCCUGUUGCCUUCUCUAUAAAUAUGAGUCAGGACGCAGUUGUUAAUCUCCGGUAUGAUCAAGUUUAUGUGACUAAUCUGCCUUUGUGCCUCUGCGCAUCGAAUCUGCCUCCUCUGCGCUAAUCUGAAGCAAUGUCUUUGCGUCUCCUUCGAGCCACACUUCGCUCCAACCAUUUUCCAACACCAACUCAAGGCCUCUUCUGAGUGCAGCCAGUUCCGCAAUGAUGCUGUUGGCCUUUCCUAUGGAUUCAGCAUAACCAAGUAGGAACUCGGCCUUGUGGUUUCUGAACAGCCCUCCAAUGCUAGCCUUUCCCACUUCGGGUUUGGAAGAUCCAUCAAAGUUCAGUUUAGUCCAACCAAUUUUCGGUUUUUCCCAUGACACCGGAAUUGACUCCUUGUGCAAACUCCCGAAUAGGCAAACCGGACGUUGUUGUAUUAGUUUUUCGAACCUCAAAAUCUUAUUGAAAGCUAACAUUUUAAAGUAUAUAUUUACUUCUUCCUAAAAACUAUUUUAAUUAAACAUAUUGCAGUGUUUAGCAAAACCGACAUUACAUGAAAUGAAGAGAAAAAUGAUAAGUAGGGGAAUGAGUUUUACACAACAAAAGGAAGACGAAGAGGAAGUCGAAACGUUUCUUAAUGCUAAAGUUAUGAAUCUAUAUUAGUGCCCUUAAUCCUUUGGAACAUAAGAAACUAUUGCUUCACGUAACCAUGCAUUGAAGGAGUUGGAGUUGAGAGAAGGCAAGGUAUAGGGUUUACAACAAGGCAGCGUUUAAUUAAUAAUAUACGAGUUUCUUGACACACGCGUGAAUACUUAGAUGACGAAAAAUGGCUAGAGAGGUUUUAUUCAAGAACUCUCAAACACAUUAUAAUGUUUAUCCAGACAUUUUCAUGGGAUUUGAUAUUGAAAAUUGAUGAGUUUUGUUGAUAAAGUGCAUGCUAUGAUAUUAACAUAUAUGCACGAAGAACUUGAGAUGAACCGUUAAAUGGUAACUGUAAAAACACCGAUUUUAUCCUAAUGGGAUAAAAACUGCAAAUUUAACUGUAUUUUAUCCAUAAAACUAGUGGGAACUCCGAAAAGUAAGAAUGCUUAAAUUUAAUUAGGGUAUUUUCAGGAAAUGAGAGGACAAAAAUGAAAAGAAAAAAAAACUCAAGGGCUGACGAGAUAUAGAGAAAGCAUUUAAUGCGGUGUUAACUUUGGUCAACUGUGAUUCAGAUGAUCAAAUUGGAUUGAGAUCCUCAAGGGAUCUCACACUCCAGAGUCCGCAAAUCGAACAAUUCGGAUUGUUCAAGAGAGAGAUAUAUGAACGUUCGAGAGAGAUUGUAUGUGAAGUGAGUCAGUGAAAUGGGCUAAUAGGGGACAACAUAUUUUAAAUUAAACGGUCUGAAAUGCUUGAUCUGUUGGCUCCCAAGCUGAUCUCAAUCUGAUCAAAUUAGUUGCCUACAGUUGCCCUUGUUGCGCGGUAGAGAGUCAAUGACUGGGUCAACGAAAUUUCCUGCCUAUUUGCAGCUUAGUUACAGUAAGAUCUGUGUAUAAUGUUUGGCCGCAAUAUAUCUUCAUGUCACACUACAUAUCUAUCUCUCAUUCAAGUAAGAAUAAAAGUUCUACAAAUCAAUGACAUGAAAAGUUCUGGCUUUUUAAACAAGGCAUAUCAAACUACACACCCAAAACAAAUCAUUUACACGGUUGCAAUUCGCAGUUCCUAAUCGUUUUUCAAUUCAUCGGAAGGACGAAAUUAGUAUUCAAACGAGCAACUUUAUUUCUUCAAUCCCACACUUUUGCUCCUUAGAAUUUUUCCUUACCAAUGAGCCACAACCAGUCAAGGCAAACCCCUGCAAAUAUGCCUCCCAAAAGAAACAGAACAAGUAUAUUUCCCAAGGCAUUUUGCUCAGGUCCCUGCAAAUCAAACAACCAGAAAUUAAUUUUGAUUUGAUUUAAUCAGAAACCAUGAAAACAUAAAUUAUAUUCGGAACAGGUUACGUACGUUGUAGCCUUUCGGUGCCACUGUCAUGACACAGACAGUGAGAUAACCAUUUGUUAAUCCUAAGAUUGAUGUCAGCAAGAUCAUCCACCCUUGGUCAGCGUACUUUCCUGUGAAGUAGUACGCUGGAACGAAGAGGAAACGCAAUAGGAUUGCAAUCAGGAGACCCUUUCUGGACUCGAUCUUCAGGCAUUUGAUGAGGGGUAUGUAUCGCGAUAUCAAAUCCAACACAUUGUACAUUGCAACCAGGACAAGGGGAUACCUGAGAGAGUUUUCAAAAGGCAACCGUACCAGAGUAUAUCAGAUUACGAGGCAUGCCUAGAGAACAAGCGUUUAAAAUAUGAAAGGAAUCGAAACUUACCAUGUCCCCAACUGGUGAUUUCCGGUAUUUUCGUAUAUGAAACCAGGGAAGAUUGAUAAUGUCAGCACAUAUAUCAGAAACAAGUCAAGGCAAAAAUCUAUAUUCUGCUUGAAUAUCUGCAUAGUGCUCAAUCGAGUUGGAACUACUUUGGCAUCGUUUGAGACCUGCGAUAAAUUUAGAAAGGUUUUUAGUAAUUGGAUAUCCGAGCAGAUCCUCAAGAACAGGCAUCAUCAGAGUUUAAAGAAAGGUUCAAUACUUCUAUGUCUGCUUGUGUUUGGACUCCAGCAGCAGCAAGAUCGGCGGUUACAGUUUUAGAGCCUUCGGAAGCUGCCUUUGAGCGGUAGUACUUCACUAUAGGCAAUCUCGGGAAGUAAAAUGCAUAUAGAAGAAUACAGAGAAACUCGGUGAAUGUGGAAAUUGUCAGGAACAACACUGUAAAAGAUCAGUCACACAAGAAAUUAUCACCGACCAAGGAACUGAAAGUAUCCUUCAGAAAGUAUUAUUACGCUAGCUUCAGAAAGCAGCUUAAUAUGGAAUCUGCUUCGCCACCUAAUGUGUAUAUUGUUUUCCUACAAAACUCAAAUCCACUUCCUCGGCUUUGACACAUACGACCACAAUAUAAGAAGAAGCAUAUGAAUAUAUAUCAACCACCCGAACUGUCUAUAUGUAAAGGAAAUUGACAUACUCGUCCCCUUGCGAAGACCAUCAUGAGACUUCUCAAAGGCAGCUUUUGUCAUCAGCCGCAAGCCGGAGGUUAGAGCGCCUGAUGCAGCCAAACCCGCAAAGAAGGACUGCAGAAGCAGAACACUAAAUUACAAACAGAAGUUGUCAUAAACGUUAAACAACUGUGAAAAAUAACUAACCUGGAUGAAUUCAGGACGCAUCAACGACAGGUCCCCGACCAUUCCACCUUGAACGUGGGCAUCUGCAACCCCAAAUGCAGCAACACAUGCGCAUAUACCGAUAUAAGGUCCAACUCCUCCGCCCGCAGAUGUGGCUACAUCCACCUAUUUACAAAGUUGAAAGUGAAGUUAAUUGAUCGAAAGCAACAGAAAACUUGUAACAGAAUAGAGAGCAGGAUUUACUUACAAUUAUAAGCAUCAAGGUAGCGAGGAAGAAGAGAGCAUAUCCAAUUAAAUUCCGCUUUCUGGUGUCAACCUUUGCUUCAUGGUAUGCAAGUGUUGCCAUUGUUAUAAAUGCAAACGGUUGAUAAACAAGGGUGAGAACCCGCGAUGGAUGGUAAGUCUACGAAAACAAAUUUCCAUCAGACUUUUCAAGACUUCCCUUUUUAUUUGCAAACAACCCAAAGGGAAAAUAAAUACGAAAAUAAAGUUCAAAACUUUUCCAUAGCCCAGCAACUUCAAGCCUAAUUCACUUAAUCUGAAAAGAUCAUUUGUAGCUCUUACCGGAAACAAGUUAUAGUAGUAAUCACCUAUGGUGAGCAUACUGUUCCAAGCAACAAGGGAUCCCAGCCCCAGGAACCAACAAACUGCUAAAGCUUUAUACUGUCCCUGCUUGUUGCAACAAUUCAAAAUUCAAAACAUAUCAGAUAUCACAAUUCAAUUGGAAAAGAGUUAAAAAAAAAUGAAAACCCCCUAGAGUAAUAGAAGGUGAGCAUCCAACGCUCACGCGGAUAGCCUGCUUUGAUACCAUAAUCGCAAAACCAAUUUUCCGAGGUGGGAUUUGCACUCUCAACAGAAAUUUCAAUGCCUAAAUCAAUUUGAGGAAACAAAAGUCCAAUGCUUUCAGCACAAACCUCAAGCUUUAAUGGAGCCCUGGUUCCAUUUUCCUCAAUCAUGGCUGCUUCCCAUGUUUCAGAAACACACAAAGUUAGACACUUCAUAUAUGACUACUGUUGUAAACAGUCAACUUGAAAUACAUUAAAAACGCAGAUACCAGUAUGUAAAUAAUCAAAUAUGCAUAUACUGGUCAUUACCUGCUCAGAUUCUUGAAGCUGACUUGAAUAUGCAACUGGGUUUUCAAUAGUAUAUACCUUCACUUUUCCAGAAGAUUAAAAAAAAAUUAAAAAGAUAAAAUCUGGAUGGAGGUUUUGACCUCUGUUCAAACCAGAACUAUAUAUAUAUAUAUGCAUGGAAAAUCAUAAACAAUUGAGUUGUAUUAUUAUAUAAAACGAUUACAGCGCCGACAACCUUAAAGAUUCACAUGGGCACAGAAAAAAGGAUAUGAGAUUAUGUAUUUGCGAGGAAUCUGAUGGAGUUUUGAUUCGACUGCAUAGUAAUCUGAAAGCAAGAAUCAAAGCAGGCUGUGGAAUUGAAAGCCAAAAAGGAUUCUCCUUUUUUCCGAAUAAUUUGAUUCUGAUUGUGAUUGAAGAUUACAACUUAUCUAAAUAAGUUACUCUGAAGGUAUCUUAACCUAUGAAAAAUAAGAUUUUUAACGAAAGUAGGUUAGGAUAAUGUAGUAGAAUCUUAAACCAAUAAUGUAACGUAGUAUUUCAAUUUGACAUAGAUAAUAAAUUCUUAGAAUGCGGUUAGAAUAAUAUAGCGGGAUCGUAAACUAAUAAUACAAAAUAAUAGAAUCCAAUGCCACGUAAAUAAGUCUCUCUACUUAAUGGUUGACCAAUAGUUUGAAAGCAGAUACCUAGAGCAGAUCCAAUAGUUUGAAACCGAUACAGUCCGGUGCCGUUUUGGUUGAAGAUCGCCUUUCAAUUUGAAAAGAAACAGCUGUACUUUAAAACAUGCAUCCCAUUUGUACACGAACACAUAAUUUAAAUUUGUGAAUAUUUUAUAAUAAAUAUAAGAAAAUCAAUCUAAAUUGCUAAGAAAUCUGAAAGGAACUUUUGUUUUUGGACGAAAUCCGAAAGCAACAUCAUAUUUGCCAUCCACAUAGUAAAAUUGUAAAAUACAAUAUGAUUUAGGUUUAUGGAAAUAGAAACGUGAGCUGGCAUAAAUUAUAUAUGAUGCUAAACUCAAUGUAGAAUAUGAACGCUCGAAUGAACUAUUAUCAUACUCGUUGUUUUAAUCAAUAAAAUUAUAACUCUUGAAGCGGGAGUACUAUUCUCUUCUCUUCUCUCUCACCACGUAUUAUUAUUUUGUAAUAUUAUGUGGCAUGUGACCGUCACACUAAACAAAUACUUUUGUCUCUUUUUCUCCCUCUCCCUCACCAAGUAUUCUUUUUCGAUUAAUACGUUAAAGGAUGAAGAGAUCCAUAUGGUAGUGCAUUAAGCAUCGGAUCUAAUGAGCUCAUUAAUCACGUUUAACCAAUGUAUAAAAAACGUUUAGUAGACUUCACAAUAAGUUUCAAUAAUUGUAGACUUGUUAAAAAAAAUCGCUUGAAUUUGCUACAAUUAACCGUUUUUCAAAAAUUGAGUGAAUGUGAUACGAAAAUUGCAUACUAUUAUAAUUUAAACUUUUUUUUUUUUAGUACAUCGAUAUUUUUACACUAGAGGAAUGAAGAGUUCGGCUAAGCCACACAACGGGCAACCUAAUUUGGUAUCAAAUUGUUUAAUAGAUUAGACAUUUUCUGGGUUCGAUUUCUGGUACUGGUGAGUCGCACAAUAAUGACUAGGAAAAUGUUGAAAUGUCUUUGUGAAUCUUUUCAGUCUAUAAAAAGUGGACUGGCAUGACGAAACCACCAAUUAGUUUUUUUUAGAAGAAAGAAAAAAAAAAGAAGACUUUGACACUUGAGAUACAUCACCAUAAAACAACCAAGAAUCUCUCAUCUUUAGUUGGGGCUUGACGUUGGGUGACAUUUUUAUUUAUAAAAGGUGGAACCAUAAAUUGAGGAGCCACUAAAAGCUUGAAGAAUAAAUUGAGGAGUCACUAAAAGCUUGAAGAAAGGUUUCAAGAAAAUUGACAAUUGAGAUUGGGCAGUGGGGUGAUCGUCCUCAGUCCUCGCCAACUUCUUGUUUCGUUUCCAUUGGACCAAUGAUGCUUCCCCAAAUCAAAAUCCAAACCUCACUUUUCAAAAUCGAAUAUCAUAUAGGAUAGUGUUAUUCACACACUAUUUUUUACUUUUCACACAUCUCUCUCAAUUUUCUAUUGUCGGAUCGAAUAAAUUGAAGAAGAUCGAUAACAAAAAAUUAAUGUUGGAGGUAAAAAUAGUUGUAUAAAUAGCAUUAUCCUAUCAUAUAAUGGCACAGUUGACUGACGUAAUCAGCUGACUAAUGAGACUACUGCCUUUUAGCUAUUGUGUGUGUGCACACACAAUCUUUAGGAGAAGGGAUCUCCAUUUUUUAAAAAUGGAAAUUUGUUGUGGGGUUUAAAUCACAUCGAAGUUCAACGAUCCGAACAAUAUAUUUUUGUAAUUGUACCUCAUAGAUCAUUCUUGCAAAAUAUUGACUAAAUCGGAAAUAUUUGAUGUAUCUAAUUGAGUUCACAAAAACUAAUAAAAUUUUAUCGUGACAAUUAAACAAACAAGUAGUUUCAGAUUGAAAUGAAUUUUUGCAAGAACGAUCUAUGAAUCGAGACUUACAAAAUAAACAGUUUAGAUUGUUGAAAUUCAAUAUAGAGUGAGUUCCAUAAUUAAUAUCCAAUUUUUUUUUAAAUGGGAAUCCCUUCUUAAAGGGUGUGUGUGUGUGUGAGAGAGAGAGAGAGAGAGAGAGGGAGAGAUGGUAAGGCCAGGCCCACUAAAUGAAAUGAAAAGGCACCUUGGUAGUGGAAUGGGAUACAUAAUCUAGGCCAAGCCCAGCCCAUAAUAAAAAGGCCGCAAUAAGCAAAGCCCUGAUCGCAAAGUGGAGAUCCUCAAAGCUCAUUCAUUGCCCUCCACUACAAAAUCUGGAAACAAUCAAACAAUUCCAAUCAUCUCUCACAUUUAGUGGUAAGACUCCAGAAAAGGCCUCUAAAAAGCCAUUUUCUGUGAACAAGAGUUGGGUUCUUAAGUGAGAUGUUCCUCGGUAGUUUAGUGGUAAAGCGGUCGGCUGUUAUUAAUUAGAAGAUGAACCGACUACUAACGCUGGCCGCCAAAUAUUGGCAUUCGAUAGGUAGAGUUUCUGAUGCGGCACGAAGUAAAGGAUUAGUAAAUCCUUAAAGGAUCGAUAAUCUGGAAUCCCUCAUUUAUUAAAGUAAUCCCAAGGGAUAAAAAAAAAGGCGACCAGAAGCCAACAGGGUUCCCACUUUGUAAGGGUUCGGGACAGUUCAUCUAUCAAUUUUUUAGAGUAAAAUCCCAAAAGAUAAUUUUGAUUAACUGAUAAUUGAUUAUUACAAUUGAAACAUCCAGAUACUUAAAUGAAGAAUUUAAGGAUCAUAACUUCUUGGACCAACUCAACCAACUUUGGUAAUUUAAACAAAAUUAAUUGGAUGACAAUUCAAAGGUCUGCUUUUUAUUACGAAAAUUAAAAUUAUGACGUCGUUCCCUUUCUGAAACUGUAUUAAGGACUCAAAUCAGUGCUCGAACGUCAAAUUUACAAAUUAUCACUACGUGAUUUGUCUUCCGACGAUCCAGUUCCUUUUUAUUCCAUUCCACUAUUUGUUCAACAUCGGUUCCUGGUUUUCUUGAUGGUAGUGCCGGUGCACUAUCCCUAAACGUCUCUUUCUCCAAAAGGUUUGCUUCUCUAAAAGGUGAAUUGCCACCGCCCAAGUUAUACAUUACCAUAAACGUCCCUUUAAUCAUUCCAACUUGAUAAGUGACAAAGACUCAUAUCCUAUUAAUUAAUACCUGAUUUAUACACUUUGACCUUUUCCUUUCCUACCCAACGACAUAAAAUAAUAGCUCAAAUUUUGCUUCCACUUUAAGAAAGGGGGGACAAUAUGAUUUCAAGUCUUAUUACUGGAAAGGGAUCCUUUCCGCUCCCUUUCACCAAAUUCACCUAAUCAAUCAAUCCGGACUCUUGAAAUUUGAUCAAACGGUUACAAACAUAGAGCAUCUUAAAAAGGUAUAAUAAUUAGUCGUUUGAUUAAAUUUCUAAGGCCCGAAUUAGAUGAUUGGGUGGAUUUGGUAGAAUGAAUCAGGAGGAGAGGAUCCCUUUCCCUUAUUACUGGCCAUGAGUUUGCCCUAUUUUCACUUAGUUAAAACAAGUAUUAAGUUCGAUUAAGACGAAUGCAUGACAAUAUAUAUUUAUAGUGAAUUCAAUUUUAAAUUGAGAUUCAUAUAACUAUUUAUGAGUGAGUUAACAACUCGUUUUAAAAUAUAUUUAUAAGUAUCAAAUCGAUAGUUGAAUUUGUUUUAGAUAUAUAUAUGGACAGUCAAUAACAUGAUUAUUAUGUCAAGGGGAUAUUACACAUCAGAUUCCUGUUUAAAUGAGGACUCAACUACGUCAUCGUGACCUCGACGCUAUGAAUUUUAAGUUUCUCGUAUGAUAUUACAUGAUUAAUUUUACAUUGUCAAGUUCACGUAUCAGUUGCAUACAAGUUCAUUGAGUCAAGUACCCCACAAGGCCGACGUUGGACCCACCAGUCACCCAGAACAUCAAACACUCCAAUGAUUGGACAGUGAGGGGUUCGACGAUGCAAGCCGGUUGGCGUAGCAAAGUCCCGUGGCCACGGGACAAAAUGGUGACAAACAGGCCGGUUGCCUCUGACAAUGCGAUAACGACACCUGGACCCGUAUACCUGGUCUUUUAAGGCAUUUUCCCACCACCUCGCGCUCCCACCUUCCUUCCUUCCUCUCCACCUUGCUCGCCCAACUCCGCCGUCUGCUCUCUCACCUCCCGCCAAGUUAAUUCCUUUUUUUUUUUUUUGUUGUCCAAGAUACCUUUUGUAUCUGGUAGACUACGAGCUUGUUUGAAAAGUGUUUUUAAUCGACUGAAACGUUUUUAGAAAAAAAAUACUUUUGAGUUUCAAAAUGCACUUUAAGUGUUUUUCACAAUUAAUUUGUAUUUUUACCAAAGUUUGAUUUCCAAAAACAUUAUCUCAAAAACAUUUUUAAUCAAUAAAACGCUUUUCAAACGAGUUCUAUAUGCAGUAUCAUCAACCAAACAUGACGAGAGAGUAACAGCAUCACAGAACGAAGGAAAAAUAAAGACGAAUAUAUCAUUUUUCAAUGGCAACUGGUUAAUUAAUUUAUACCCUACUCAAUUAGCUAAAUUAGGUGAAAAAAAAGAGAGAGGAGAAUAUAGUAAGCGGGGCCCAGCAAAGAAGGUGAAAAAGAGAUCUAACGGCUAGAUAUCAUGGUCAAUUAAUUAUUUAUCUAAGAUCUAACGGCUAGGAAAUGCGAUAAAUAAAAUAUUCCGGGUCAGGCAAGCGUCUGUGACGCACCCAUCCGUCACAGACAUCCAAAUCUCCCUCUAUUUCCGCUCCCAGACAUUCCUCAACGUCUGCAACUCCAACUCGAUACACCAAAAGCUGACCCCUUCACAACUUUUUGUUGCGGAGAGCAUAGUUCGUAUCGCCCUCGGAUAAUGGCGUCACUCCACCCCUCUGAGUUGGACUCCGCCGCCACCGACUCGGUCGCGUCGACCCCGCGCUCGGACCACCCGUCCCACGACCUCAACUCACGUGUACGGUUCAUGUGCAGCUUCGGCGGCAAGAUCCUGCCGCGCCCGCACGACAAUCAGCUUCGCUAUGUCGGCGGCGAUACCCGAAUUGUCGCUGUGCAUCGCACCACCUCUUUCUCCGCCCUUCUCUCGAAGCUCUGCAAACUCUCAGGCAAGUAAACUCGUCGAAACGACGACGUAUCAUCGCGAUUCAGUUGCUUAAUUAAUCUAAUUAAUCGCGGGGUUUGAUUGUGUGCGGCAGGGUUGAGUAACGUAACGGUGAAGUACCAGCUGCCGAACGAGGACCUGGACUCGUUGAUUUCGGUCACCACGGACGAGGACGUUGACAACAUGAUGGAGGAGUACGACCGCAUCGCACAGAAUCAAAACCCAAAAUCGGCGCGGCUCCGCCUCUUUCUCUUCCCCAAAGGCGGCGACGACUCGAUUAACUCGCGAUCCUCCAGCAUCAGCUCGCUCCUAGACGGCUCCGCCAAGCGCGAGCACUGGUUCCUCGACGCGCUCAACAGCGGUACGUCGAAUUCCGCUAUGCUCGAGCGGGGCCGCUCCGAAGCCUCUUCGAUCGUCUCCGAAGUGCCUGACUACUUAUUCGGGUUGGACAACUCCGACGACACUCACUCUCGGUGCGGCGAUUUCAAACCGAAGGCUCGACCCGUAUUGAACGACAACGUGUCGGUUUCGGAUCCGGGUUCACCUGCCCCGAUCACUUCCUCGCCGUUCUGCUCGACGUCGUCUGUGCCAUCCGUCCCGUCGAUGCCGAGUCUUCCACCGGUGAAGACCCGACCCGAUUCCAAUAAAGUCAUGGAGACGAAAGAGAAUCAAUCGGAGAUGUUUACCGAGACGGUUGAGUUGCCCGUGUCGCAAGCAACUGGGUUCGCAGGCAACCCUGGGGUGCAGUAUAUGCCGGAUCCUAAUUACCAGGGUCAUAUGGUCCGGUCAUUACCCGUCUAUUAUUAUCCGGGUCAGGUUCCACCCACAACGUACAGGUCCAACCUGUUCCGAUUCGGAGGCAGUAUGUUCAUCAGCAAUACCACCAGGUAGCGAGUCAGAUUCCAGUCGGGUACCAUAACCCAAUACCGGGUAUGGGUCAAGUAUAUGGUGGCGGGUUGAGGCCAGUGGUGGCGAUGGACCCGUAUGACGUGUCAGCUCGGGUGGUUUCCGAUGGAGGGAGCCAGCAACAGCAGCUGCAGCAGCAGGUGUACUAUGGAGUGAGGAAUGGUGCGGUGGUUUCGCCGUAUAAUCCAGGUAUGGUGGUGCAAUCGGGGGAGGAAUGGCAAGGACCCGGACCCGAUAAGAAUACGGGUCGGGCUCCGAAUUCAUCAUCUUGACCAAUGCAUGAAUGAAACAAACAUCUAGUUACUGUGAUUUGGAUUGUUAUUUAUUUUAUAAUUUUGUGAUUGCUUGAUGAUUGGUUGAUGAGUGAGUGAUGAUCCAAACUGUAAUUAGCAUUUUGAACUUGGUAUUGUGAUGAAAUUAUGAAGGGUUGUUUUUACCUUGUUUUGAUUUUCAUGGGAUAAAUGGUGUAUAUGGAAAAGUGAAAACUUUUGCUUUCAAAGGCUUUCCCUUUAUCUUUUGUGAAUAUAAAAGUUGUUUUUUUCUUAAACAAAACAAGUCUAAUAAAGUUGUUUGUAAAGUUGUUGAGUUUUAAUUCUAUAUUGAUAUGAAUUGGAAUUGGAAUUGAAAUCGGUAUGAAAAAAGAAGAUGGAAAUGAACUGGUUCAGCUCUUGCAUGACAUCGUGGAUUCGAACAUCUGUCGGUAGAUAAUCUACCAUUUAAUCUAACAAAAUCUAUCGUUUGUACUUACAACGAGUAGGAUUAUCUCCCUUUCCACUUUCCUUCCCUCCAUUCCCCUCCUCUCUCUCCUUAUUCUUUUUCUUUCUCUCUACAGAGAAUGCAACACAAGAUCCUUACGUGGACUUAAUUGUGAGCGUUCAAAUGGAGAGACAGGGAAAAUGCGAGAGGAGGAGAGAGUCCGAAUUCUAUUUACAGAGAGAAUUUGACUGCAAAUGUAAUGUCGCGUUUUAGUCUUACCAUUGUGAUAGUGAUUUCGUUCUCUCAUUUUUUUUAUUCAUGCACUAUUAUUCUAGUUUCUAUAUAUUGAUUCUAUUUUGAUAUAUUCAAUCUUACGACUAAAUUUUAAAAGAGAAAAAUAAUGCUAGAAGAGAGAAAUGAGAGUUUGAAACCGGGCUCACUUUUGAUAGUAUCUCCUCCGUGUGGCAAGCUCGUUUUAGGACAUUAUUGGGGUUGCGCGAUCCCUAACUAUUUGGUGUAGUUUUCUUCAUUGUGGACUUAUAAAUAUGUCAUUGCCUUGAGAAAGUUUGAGUAGACCGAGGCAGGAAUAGUAUUGGCCGGCCCAUGACUGUCUACGGUUAGAUAACCUUUGUUGGGUUAACCAUCCCCCCUCCCCAUCGCUUGUUUGGUUGAGAAAUUUUUUAUUGUGACCGGAAUAUGAAUGAUAUAUCACGUGCUUUUAUAUAAGUGGUGAAAAUUUUUAAUUUUCAAGCUAUUAACUUUUAAACACACAUAUUCUAUCAUUUGUAUGGUGACACAUGGUGUACCACCCCGUGUUCUAGUCACACUAAAAAAUCUCUCUGUUUGGAGAUGCUUCUAAAAGGAAUAAAAGUGCAUUAGGACUAGGUGAUUCUCAAACAACUGCUCCAAAGCGACAAUUGACGCGGGGUCAUAGAAGAAGGGCUCAAUCUGCCCCCUAGUGGUUAUAGAUGGGCUUAAACAACUACUCCGUACAUUUGGAAGAGCAUAGCUUUGACAUAGAAUUGCCAUAAUUGGCCGAAUCUUGUAGUCUAUUUUAAAUCAGUCUAACUUAAUUCUUGAAGUUAGUCAGGUCUGAAAUAACCCAAUGCAACAAACGCUCCUUAAAAAGGGGCAAGUGCCUGUCAAAAGCCUGCUCAAAAGGACUGCCGAUUCGUACUAAUGUAUGGCAUCUUCAGUCCGAUCAGAUUCAGGUGAAAUUCAAGGUUGUUGGGUCACUCUGUCUUCCCCUCAAACACACAUUCUUCUUUUCAAUAUUCUAUCAUGUAUGUGACUGACCACUUACUACUACUCGAUCGUAUGGUUCUGGUUCACAUCUAAGAAAAAUAAACAAACAUUGGCACGGUUUGGGCUUGACACUGAACUCGAAUGUCCACAUAAUUUUUCAAGUUUCAAAUGGACCAACAUCGCCCAACAAGUAAAUUAAUAAGCCUUGGCAUGUUUCUAUCUGAGGUUUGUAAGCCUCAGAUCUGCUUAUAUAUUUUGUGUCCUACGUACCUUUUUUUAUUUAUAUAAUUUUUUUGUCCCAAUUGGAGGAGCCCCAUUAUUGCUUAAGGUGAUUUGAACACGAAAACCAAAGAUUUACAUAUACUCUAGUUAGAAGAUGUAUCUAUGAGAUAGAGGGUCAUGACAAAAGACGUAGAGGAAGACCUAGGAAGACUUGUAAAUUUACUUUAAGAAAAAAAUAUGGAGUACUUGGAGUUAACAGAAGAUUUGACGAAAAACCGAGCACACUGACAUUCAAAUAUUUAUAUAGCCGAUUUCAUUUUGUGGAAUAAGGUUUGGUUGUUGUGUUGGAGGAGGCCACACCUUUGUCUUACUAGUAACUUUCUUUUACUACCCACAAACGAUAUCAUAGGACGCUGGUAAUCUGCCUGCAUGGGAGCAAGGCGUGAAUGCAUGCACUCAUAACAUAAAGUGAGACAGAAAAGCAGAAAGAAAAAGCUUAACAGCUGGGAUUUGAAUAUUCAAUUCACCAGAAAAUAAAAAAAGUAGGGAUGCGAUUUCGAUUUGUGGUCAUAAAAAAAAAACUUAUUUAGUUUUAGGUAGGCUUUCUCUCGAACCAAUGCCAAUUGCCAAACAACAACAACAACAACAACAAAGCAUUUUCCCACUAAGUGGGGUCGGCUAUAUGAAUCCUAGAACGCCAUUGCGCUCGGUUUUGUGUCAUGUCCUCCGUUAGAUCCAAGUACUCUAAGUCUUUUCUUAGAGUCUCUUCCAAAGUUUUCCUAGGUUUUCCUCUACCCCUUCGGCCCUGAACCUCUGUCCCGUAGUCACAUCUUCGAAUCGGAGCGUCAGUAGGCCUUCUUUGCACAUGUCCAAAUCACCGGAACCGAUUUUCUCUCAUCUUUCCUUCAAUUUCGGCUACUCCUACUUUACCUCGGAUAUCCUCAUUCCCAAUCUUAUCCUUUCUCGUGUGCCCACACAUCCCACGAAGCAUCCUUAUCCCCGCUACACCCAUUUUGUGUACGUGUUGAUGCUUCACCGCCCAACAUUCUGUGCCAUACAACAUCGCUGACCUUAUUGCCGUCCUAUAAAAUUUUCCCUUGAGCUUCAGUGGCCUACGACGGUCACACAAACACUCCGGAUGCACUCUACACUUCAUCCAUCCAGCUUGUAUUCUAUGGUUGAGAUCUCCAUCUAAUUCUCCGUUCUCUUGCAAGAUAGAUCCUAGGUAGCGAAAACGGUCGCUUUUUGUGAUCUUUGCUAGAUUGCUCCGGUCAUUAGUGUGGAUAAGUAUAUAAAUGGAUAGAGAUAGGAAAGCCAACACAAGAUGUACGUGAUUCACCCAGAUUGGCUACGUUCACGGAAUAGAGGAGUUCUCAUUAAUUAUGAAGGGUUUUACACAAGUACAUAGGUUCAAGCUCUCCUUUAGUGAGUACAAGUGAAUGAUCUAGUACAAAUGAC